This 67-nucleotide ribosomal RNA is filed under the name Geobacillus sp. LYN3. Its description in RNAcentral is "partial 23S ribosomal RNA". Lineage: Bacteria; Bacillati; Bacillota; Bacilli; Caryophanales; Anoxybacillaceae. The record is from RNAcentral.
GGUCCGAGGUGGAAGCGUGGCGACACGUGGAGCUGACGGAUACUAAUCGAUCGAGGACUUAACCAAG